UGGGGAAUUUUGGACAAUGGGCGAAAGCCUGAUCCAGCAAUGCCGCGUGUGUGAAGAAGGCCUUCGGGCUGUAAAGCACUUUUGUCCGGAAAGAAAUCCUUGGCUCUAAUACAGUCGGGGGAUGACGGUACCGGAAGAAUAAGCACCGGCUAACUACGUGCCAGCAGCCGCGGUAAUACGUAGGGUGCAAGCGUUAAUCGGAAUUACUGGGCGUAAAGCGUGCGCAGGCGGUUUGCUAAGACCGAUGUGAAAUCCCCGGGCUCAACCUGGGAACUGCAUUGGUGACUGGCAGGCUAGAGUAUGGCAGAGGGGGGUAGAAUUCCACGUGUAGCAGUGAAAUGCGUAGAGAUGUGGAGGAAUACCGAUGUCGAAGGCAGCCCCCUGGGCCAAUACUGACGCUCAUGCACGAAAGCGUGGGGAGCAAACAGGAUUAGAUACCCUGGUAGUCCACGCCCUAAACGAUGUCAACUAGUUGUUGGGGAUUCAUUUCCUUAGUAACGUAGCUAACGCGUGAAGUUGACCGCCUGGGGAGUACGGUCGCAAGAUUAAAACUCAAAUGAAUUGACGGGGUCAUAGCUGUUUCCU
RNAcentral lists this ribosomal RNA (585 nucleotides) under uncultured bacterium. RNAcentral's name for it is "partial 16S ribosomal RNA". It matches the Rfam family "Bacterial small subunit ribosomal RNA", at positions 355 to 1375 of the family's 1533-position model. The record is from RNAcentral.